RNAcentral lists this ribosomal RNA (429 nucleotides) under Chloroflexota bacterium. RNAcentral describes it as "Chloroflexi bacterium partial 16S ribosomal RNA". It matches the Rfam family "Bacterial small subunit ribosomal RNA", at positions 355 to 776 of the family's 1533-position model. Lineage: Bacteria; Bacillati; Chloroflexota. The record is from RNAcentral.
UGGGGAAUAUUGCACAAUGGGCGCAAGCCUGAUGCAGCCAUGCCGCGUGUGUGAAGAAGGCCUUCGGGUUGUAAAGCACUUUCAGCGGGGAGGAAGGCGUUAAGGUUAAUAACCUUGGCGAUUGACGUUACCCGCAGAAGAAGCACCGGCUAACUCCGUGCCAGCAGCCGCGGUAAUACGGAGGGUGCAAGCGUUAAUCGGAAUUACUGGGCGUAAAGCGCACGCAGGCGGUCUGUCAAGUCGGAUGUGAAAUCCCCGGGCUCAACCUGGGAACUGCAUUCGAAACUGGCAGGCUAGAGUCGUGUAGAGGGGGGUAGAAUUCCAGGUGUAGCGGUGAAAUGCGUAGAGAUCUGGAGGAAUACCGGGGGCGAAGGCGGCCCCCUGGACAAAGACUGACGCUCAGGUGCGAAAGCGUGGGGAGCAAACAGG